UUAGCUCAGUUGGUAGAGCAUCUGACUUUUAAUCAGAGGGUCGAAGGUUCGAGUCCUUCAUG
Molecule: transfer RNA, 62 nt
Filed under: uncultured Cytobacillus sp.
Lineage: Bacteria; Bacillati; Bacillota; Bacilli; Caryophanales; Bacillaceae
Rfam family: tRNA
About the family: Transfer RNA (tRNA) molecules are approximately 80 nucleotides in length. Their secondary structure includes four short double-helical elements and three loops (D, anti-codon, and T loops). Further hydrogen bonds mediate the characteristic L-shaped molecular structure. tRNAs have two regions of fundamental functional importance: the anti-codon, which is responsible for specific mRNA codon recognition, and the 3' end, to which the tRNAs corresponding amino acid is attached (by aminoacyl-tRNA synthetases). tRNAs cope with the degeneracy of the genetic code in two manners: having more than one tRNA (with a specific anti-codon) for a particular amino acid; and 'wobble' base-pairing, i.e. permitting non-standard base-pairing at the 3rd anti-codon position.
Source: RNAcentral